Molecule: ribosomal RNA, 160 nt
Filed under: Alternaria sp. SS-1658
Lineage: Eukaryota; Fungi; Ascomycota; Dothideomycetes; Pleosporales; Pleosporaceae
Also listed under: 1 other name
Description: 5.8S ribosomal RNA
Rfam family: 5.8S ribosomal RNA
About the family: 5.8S ribosomal RNA (5.8S rRNA) is a component of the large subunit of the eukaryotic ribosome.
Source: RNAcentral
UACAACUUUCAACAACGGAUCUCUUGGUUCUGGCAUCGAUGAAGAACGCAGCGAAAUGCGAUAAGUAGUGUGAAUUGCAGAAUUCAGUGAAUCAUCGAAUCUUUGAACGCACAUUGCGCCCUUUGGUAUUCCAAAGGGCAUGCCUGUUCGAGCGUCAUUU